This is a long non-coding RNA of Phragmites australis (common reed), 2346 nucleotides long. RefSeq lists it as uncharacterized. The record is from RefSeq and is a predicted model, not a curated record. The transcript has 4 exons. Lineage: Eukaryota; Viridiplantae; Streptophyta; Magnoliopsida; Poales; Poaceae.
UUUGGCGCUACAGUUCACCGUCUCCUAAAUUACUGUUACCCUCCUUGCGCGCCGCACUCUCGCGAGUCGAAAUUCCCACCACCACUGCAGCGCGGAGCCUCCUCAUCGCGGCGGCGGCACCGGCAGACGCUCCGCCGCGGCCGCAUACUCUCCACUCGCCUCUACCUCGACGACAUUCCCAUAGGCAAGGUCGGUCACCCCAACCCCCCUCCUCCUCGUCCUUCCCCUUCGCAACUCUGGCGAGCUCAUCCAUUCGCGGCCGUGGGUCGAAGUCGUAACAACGGUGCCGUCAGCGCAGGAUCGCGUUCAACGGGAUCGAGGAGCAGUGGGUUAUCUGGUUCACUAGUUCAUCGCACGUUUUUUCCCACAAAAUAGCGAUGCCUUGUCUCCGGCCCGUGUAACGUGCCGUGCCGUGCAGGCAGCCCUUUGAUUCGUCGAAAUGGUGCCGCGUGCGGAACUUCCUGGUGGACGCGGGGGUCCUCCAGAACGACCGGAUUGUCGAGCUGCUGGAAGCUUCGGAGGAUGAUCUGUUUGUGGUGCGUAAGGAGCUGUUGUUCGCUUGUUUUGCAGAGAUUUAUGCUGUAUGAGGCGGAAUAAAUUUGUGGUUCCAGCAGUGGCUCUACUCCCUAAUUUGCUUGUUCAGCAAAAGCUUCUUUAUCCAUUUCGGAAGCAGGUGGGUAGCUCCGUUUUAUCUGCAAAAUUUGCAGUAGAAAGGGGAUGGGCUAUCAAUACUGGUGGAGGCUUUCAGCCUUUCACCACUGUUCGGCGGAAGAAGGGGGUGCAUAUGCUGAUAUUUCUCUGUGCAUCCAUUUUGCUUUCGUCCGUUAAAUAUAUCAAGGUAGGGUAACUACCACGGCCAGUUCAAUUGUACUUGACAUCUACAGCAUUUCUUCUGUAAACUGUAUGUGCUAAGUAGGCCAACCCAUCAUUAUACCUCUUUUUCCUGGAAAGGUUGUAAUGCUAACAGGCAGUUCCUUUAGCAUUAUAAUUUAUAAUUACUCUGCUAAAAGUAAUAAUGAGUGAUGGAAACUAUUGAUAUGAGAUAGUAUUUCAGUUCCGUGAGCCACUUAUCUAGCAGAACAUUUGCAGAAUAAUGAUCACUGAUGAAAUACCCACCAAGGAAAUGGUUAUGAAAAAGACUUCGGCAAUGAUGGAAGGAUUUACACUUUGGACAUGUACAACUAUGGAAUAUAUCCUUUUGCAAGUAUUUAAGCCUGAAAUUGUUCCUACAUCUGCCGAACAUGAUCCCUCCUUGCCAAGGCUGUCCAUUAACUGAUUAUAAGUAUAAAACAAACAGAUGGGUACUGCUCUUUGAUAUUUAGCAUUUUAGCUAAUUGCUGGUCCCUUUUCUUCGGUGGAAUUAUUGUUUCCAUUCUUACUGAUAGAGCAUAUAUUUUGUUCUGAGAAAUAUAAAGGUAUAUCAUGCAUUUUUUUGUGUGGCGCAAAGACACCUGGUUCUGCAUCCUGCACUGCACUGGAACUCAAUGCUCGUACUUCAUAAGAAUAGUAGUUACAACUGUCUAAAUCGUAAUACUUUUGGCUGUGUGAAUAUGAUUUUGAUAGCUCUGUAUCUCUCAAGUCACUGUCUUCUGCAUUGCAAUUACUGCCAAUCUAAAGUUGAGAUGUUCAUUUAUAAUAAACCGGGAAAGGCUAUAUUAUUUCCCUAUACUUUUACAGCGCAUCUGCUCACAAUCUGAACUACAAAAUUGGGUAUUGUACUUCGUACACCCUAAACUUUUAAUAUCAGUGCAAAUAAUCGCCUGUGCCAUAUUUGGAGAUGGUUUCACUACGAGGGCUAUGCCGUGUGUGUGUUUGUUUUUUUGGGGUUACUUGCAUAGGUAUUAAAAGUUCAGGGUGCAGUAUACCUGAUUUGGUAGUUCAGGAAGUUAAGGUGUUAAGCAGAUGCACCGUUGAACUUCAGAGGGCAAUGUAGGCCUUUUAUCUAUAGAUUUUGCUUUGCCAUUCUUUCAUGUCUAAUCCUGGUACAUUUUCUUUUCUCUUUUUGAGUAUAAAGUGACAUGGUUUUGUUUCAGGAUUAUGUGGCUAAACAGUAGUGCAGUACAUUGAUCAAAAGGUCGAUAUAAGUUGCACUUUUUAUCCUGUUAUCCAUUAUAAAUUUCUGCAUCUGUUUUAAUGUGGAGUUAUAACUUACACUACGCCUGUUCGCAUUUAUAGAGUAGGACAAAUGACGUUUUGUAUGACUCUUUGUGUUAAGGACCUUGAUUGCAGGACAUAAUAGUUAAGGUGGCAUAUUUCUGUAUGGUUCAUAUUACAACUUACUGUAAAAUGGAGGCUGGAGCUAUAUGUAUGAUAUCAUAAUGCACUAAUGUUAUUAAUAAUAUCCCC